This 500-nucleotide ribosomal RNA is filed under the name uncultured bacterium. RNAcentral's name for it is "partial 16S ribosomal RNA". It matches the Rfam family "Bacterial small subunit ribosomal RNA", at positions 30 to 523 of the family's 1533-position model. The record is from RNAcentral.
AUUGAACGCUGGCGGCAUGCCUUACACAUGCAAGUCGAACGGCAGCACGGGAGCAAUCCUGGUGGCGAGUGGCGAACGGGUGAGUAAUAUAUCGGAACGUGCCCAGUCGUGGGGGAUAACGUAGCGAAAGCUACGCUAAUACCGCAUACGAUCUACGGAUGAAAGCGGGGGAUCGCAAGACCCCGCGCGAUUGGAGCGGCCGAUAUCAGAUUAGCUAGUUGGUGAGGUAAAGGCUCACCAAGGCGACGAUCUGUAGCUGGUCUGAGAGGACGACCAGCCACACUGGAACUGAGACACGGUCCAGACUCCUACGGGAGGCAGCAGUGGGGAAUUUUGGACAAUGGGCGCAAGCCUGAUCCAGCAAUGCCGCGUGCAGGAUGAAGGCCUUCGGGUUGUAAACUGCUUUUGUACAGAACGAAACGGUCCUUUCUAAUACAAAGGGCUAAUGACGGUACUGUAAGAAUAAGCACCGGCUAACUACGUGCCAGCAGCCGCCGUAA